Molecule: ribosomal RNA, 456 nt
Filed under: uncultured bacterium
Lineage: Bacteria
Description: partial 16S ribosomal RNA
Rfam family: Bacterial small subunit ribosomal RNA
Source: RNAcentral
UAGGAAUCUUCCACAAUGGACGCAAGUCUGAUGGAGCAACGCCGCGUGAGUGAAGAAGGUUUUCGGACCGUAAAGCUCUGUUGUUGGUGAAGAAGGAUAGAGGUAGUAACUGGCCUUUAUUUGACGGUAAUCAACCAGAAAGUCACGGCUAACUACGUGCCAGCAGCCGCGGUAAUACGUAGGUGGCAAGCGUUGUCCGGAUUUAUUGGGCGUAAAGCGAGCGCAGGCGGAAGAAUAAGUCUGAUGUGAAAGCCCUCGGCUUAACCGAGGAAUUGCAUCGGAAACUGUUUUUCUUGAGUGCAGAAGAGGAGAGUAGAACUCCAUGUGUAGCGGUGGAAUGCGUAGAUAUAUGGAAGAAUACCAGUGGCGAAGGCGGCUCUCUGGUCUGCAACUGACGCUGAGGCUCGAAAGCAUGGUAGCGAACAGGAUUAGAUACCCUUGGUAGUCCAUGCCGUA